RNAcentral lists this ribosomal RNA (94 nucleotides) under Sporosarcina limicola. The record is from RNAcentral. Lineage: Bacteria; Bacillati; Bacillota; Bacilli; Caryophanales; Caryophanaceae.
UCACACCCGUUCCCAUCCCGAACACGGAAGUUAAGCUCUUCAGCGCCGAUGGUAGUUGGGGGUUUCCCCCUGCAAGAGUAGGACGUCGCCAGGC